GGUUUUUGGUGGUUUUUCUAAGAACAAAGAUGAUCUGCCUCCUGGUGGCUUACAGAGUAAUAAAACAUAGGUUUAGAAAAUAAAAACGUGCAUAAUGAAAUGACCAAAAUGCCCUUGAGAAAUCACAAGUUCGAGCAGAAACAAAACACGGAGCGACCUCAGCCCGUCGCUCCGACAAGUCGCUCCAGGCUUCGGGAGCGACCUCGCUGUGUCGCUGCGAGAGGUCGCUCCGGGCUCG
RNAcentral lists this long non-coding RNA (238 nucleotides) under Brassica napus (rape). RNAcentral's name for it is "long non-coding RNA (BNAP_LNC006760)". The record is from RNAcentral. Lineage: Eukaryota; Viridiplantae; Streptophyta; Magnoliopsida; Brassicales; Brassicaceae.